This 394-nucleotide ribosomal RNA is filed under the name uncultured bacterium. RNAcentral describes it as "bacterial SSU rRNA". It matches the Rfam family "Bacterial small subunit ribosomal RNA", at positions 30 to 428 of the family's 1533-position model. The record is from RNAcentral.
AUUGAACGCUGGCGGCAUGCCUUACACAUGCAAGUCGAACGGCAGCGGACCUUCGGGUGCCGGCGAGUGGCGAACGGGUGAGUAAAGUAUCGGAACGUACCUUUCAGUGGGGGAUAACUGUCCGAAAGGACAGCUAAUACCGCAUAUUCUGUGAGCAGGAAAGCAGGGGAUCGCAAGACCUUGCGCUGAUUGAGCGGCCGAUAUCAGAUUAGCUAGUUGGUGAGGUAAAGGCUCACCAAGGCGACGAUCUGUAGCGGGUCUGAGAGGAUGAUCCGCCACACUGGAACUGAGACACGGUCCAGACUCCUACGGGAGGCAGCAGUGGGGAAUUUUGGACAAUGGGCGCAAGCCUGAUCCAGCCAUGCCGCGUGAGUGAAGAAGGCCUCGGUUGUAA